GGGCCCAUAGCUCAGUUGGUAGAGCAGCGGACUCAUAAUCCGCGAGUCGUAGGUUCGAGUCCUACUGGGCCCACCA
This 76-nucleotide transfer RNA is filed under the name Candidatus Aerophobota bacterium. RNAcentral describes it as "tRNA-Ile". It matches the Rfam family "tRNA". Rfam says of the family: Transfer RNA (tRNA) molecules are approximately 80 nucleotides in length. Their secondary structure includes four short double-helical elements and three loops (D, anti-codon, and T loops). Lineage: Bacteria; Candidatus Aerophobota. The record is from RNAcentral.